UAAGGGCGCACGGUGGAUGCCUUGGCACUAGAAGCCGAUGAAGGACGUUACUAACGACGAUAUGCUUUGGGGAGCUGUAAGUAAGCUUUGAUCCAGAGAUUUCCGAAUGGGGAAACCCAGCAUGAGUUAUGUCAUGUUAUCGAUAUGUGAAUACAUAGCAUAUCAGAAGGCACACCCGGAGAACUGAAACAUCUUAGUACCCGGAGGAAGAGAAAGAAAAUUCGAUUCCCUUAGUAGCGGCGAGCGAAACGGGAAGAGCCCAAACCAACAAGC
RNAcentral lists this ribosomal RNA (273 nucleotides) under Staphylococcus aureus. Its description in RNAcentral is "partial 23S ribosomal RNA". It matches the Rfam family "Bacterial large subunit ribosomal RNA", at positions 12 to 282 of the family's 2925-position model. Lineage: Bacteria; Bacillati; Bacillota; Bacilli; Caryophanales; Staphylococcaceae. The record is from RNAcentral.